AAAGUCUUAGUUAAUUAAUAACACUAAUUUGUCAAAUUAAAAUUACUAUAACUAGUAGACUUUU
RNAcentral lists this transfer RNA (64 nucleotides) under Cryptocephalus lusitanicus. RNAcentral's name for it is "tRNA-Asp". Lineage: Eukaryota; Metazoa; Arthropoda; Insecta; Coleoptera; Chrysomelidae. The record is from RNAcentral.